Molecule: ribosomal RNA, 253 nt
Filed under: uncultured bacterium
Lineage: Bacteria
Description: partial 16S ribosomal RNA
Rfam family: Bacterial small subunit ribosomal RNA
Source: RNAcentral
GACAGAGGGUGCAAACGUUGCUCGGAAUCACUGGGCGUAAAGGGCGUGUAGGCGGGAAGGAAAGUCAGAUGUGAAAUCCCCAGGCUCAACCUGGGAACUGCAUUUGAAACUCCCUUUCUUGAGUACCGGAGAGGAAAGUGGAAUUCCUGGUGUAGAGGUGAAAUUCGUAGAUAUCAAGAGGAACACCUGCGGCGAAGGCGGGUUGCUGGGCCGACACUGACGCUGAGGCGCGAAAGCUAGGGGAGCAAACGGG